This 463-nucleotide ribosomal RNA is filed under the name Yarrowia deformans. Its description in RNAcentral is "partial 26S ribosomal RNA". It matches the Rfam family "Eukaryotic large subunit ribosomal RNA", at positions 61 to 489 of the family's 3401-position model. The record is from RNAcentral. Lineage: Eukaryota; Fungi; Ascomycota; Dipodascomycetes; Dipodascales.
GAAACCAACAGGGAUUGCCUCAGUAACGGCGAGUGAAGCGGCAAAAGCUCAAAUUUGAAACCCUCGGGAUUGUAAUUUGAAGAUUUGGCAUUGGAGAAAGCUAACCCAAGUUACUUGGAAUAGUACGUCAUAGAGGGUGACAACCCCGUCUGGCUAACCGUUCUCCAUGUAUUGCCUUAUCAAAGAGUCGAGUUGUUUGGGAAUGCAGCUCAAAGUGGGUGGUAAACUCCAUCUAAAGCUAAAUACUGGUGAGAGACCGAUAGCGAACAAGUACUGUGAAGGAAAGGUGAAAAGAACUUUGAAAAGAGAGUGAAAUAGUAUGUGAAAUUGUUGAUAGGGAAGGAAAUGAGUGGAGAGUGGUUUAGGUUUCAGCCUUCUUUCGAGGGGGUGCACUACCAACGCCGAGUCAUUGAUAGCGAGACAGGGGUUAUAAACGGACGGCACUUGUGCUAUUCUCCUAACC